AUUGAACGCUGGCGGCAUGCCUUACACAUGCAAGUCGAACGGCAGCGCGGGAGCAAUCCUGGCGGCGAGUGGCGAACGGGUGAGUAAUACAUCGGAACGUGCCCAAUCGUGGGGGAUAACGCAGCGAAAGCUGUGCUAAUACCGCAUACGAUCUACGGAUGAAAGCAGGGGAUCGCAAGACCUUGCGCGAAUGGAGCGGCCGAUGGCAGAUUAGGUAGUUUGUGAGGUAAAGGCUCACCAAGCCUUCGAUCUGUAGCUGGUCUGAGAGGACGACCAGCCACACUGGGACUGAGACACGGCCCAGACUCCUACGGGAGGCAGCAGUGGGGAAUUUUGGACAAUGGGCGAAAGCCUGAUCCAGCCAUGCCGCGUGCAGGAUGAAGGCCUUCGGGUUGUAAACUGCUUUUGUACGGAACGAAACGGUCUUUUCUAAUAAAGAAGGCUAAUGACGGUACCGUAAGAAUAAGCACCGGCUAACUACGUG
RNAcentral lists this ribosomal RNA (484 nucleotides) under uncultured bacterium. Its description in RNAcentral is "partial 16S ribosomal RNA". It matches the Rfam family "Bacterial small subunit ribosomal RNA", at positions 30 to 507 of the family's 1533-position model. The record is from RNAcentral.